UGGACACCGGCGAAAGGGCUAGUAAUGGUAUCGAACGUACCCCGAGGUCGAGGAUAGCUGGGGGAAACUCCAGGUAAUACUCGAUAAGCUCUACGGAGGAAAGCUCCGGCGCCUUGGGAGCGGCGAUAUUCCUAUCAGGUUGUUGGUGAGGUAACGGCUCACCAAGCCAAAGACGGGUAGCGGGUGUGAGAGCAUGACCCGCAGCAUCGGGACUGAGACACUGCCCGGACUCCUACGGGAGGCUGCAGUAACGAAUCUUCCGCAAUGCGCGAAAGCGUGACGGAGCAAUGCCGCGUGUGGGAUGAAGCGGUUACGCCGUGUAAACCACUGUCAGGUCCUAGGAAGAACUGACCGGGACCAGAGGAAGGGUCGGCUAAUCUCGUGCCAGCAGCCGCGGUAAGACGAGAGACCCGAGCGUUAAUCGGAAUCACUGGGCUUAAAGGGUGCGCAGGCGGAUCUGUAAGCGUCUUGUGAAAUCCCACGGCUCAACCGUGGAAUUGCAGGGCGAACUGCAGAUCUUGAGGCAGGUAGAGGUCGUCGGAACGUUCGGUGGAGCGGUGAAAUGCGUAGAUAUCGAACGGAACGCCGAAUGAGAAGUCAGACGACUGGGCCUGUCCUGACGCUCAGGCACGAAAGCGUGGGGAUCAAAC
RNAcentral lists this ribosomal RNA (650 nucleotides) under uncultured marine bacterium. Its description in RNAcentral is "bacterial SSU rRNA". It matches the Rfam family "Bacterial small subunit ribosomal RNA", at positions 89 to 773 of the family's 1533-position model. The record is from RNAcentral.